AUUAAUUUAUAGUCCAGCAUUUACAAUAGAGUUCACUGUGUUUUACAGUCCUAUAGUUUUUAACCACAUUUUCAUAUAUAAUUCAGUACUGUUAAUUAUAUUUUGAAACACAUGUCUUAUAAUGAGAAGAAUGGACACCACCAUUUCACUUAAUUGAGCAUCCAAAGGUGUUAGUUAUAUGCACAAUGCUGUGCUCCCAUCAACACCAUCCACCUUGGAUCCCCAGCUGGCUGCAGCCCCGGCCGUCUCCUGUCGUCACCUGGCGAUGGCGGCCGAUCUUGCUGCAGGUAUCAGCAGCAGAGCGAGGGGUGACGGCCAAGUGUCCUGGGUGGCCGCUGCCCCCGAGCAGUGUCCGUGCUGCUGCUGCUGCAGAUUCUCGCCGUGGGCGCCGCCGCCCGUGCCCGAGGCAGCCGUUUCCCCUCGUUUCCGGGUCUCUCUGGAGCGCCCCGCUGUGCUCAGGGCACCUGGAGCCGGGCAGGAGCGGGUGCGGACGGCGGGAGAGGGCGCGGGGAGCCGCGGCGGACACGGCGGGGGGCGGAGGGGGUCCGGGCAUUUUUCUGUCCUAUUUUGAUUGAUUGUGAAGGAAACACAAAAGGUCAAAAUUUAUUUUUGAUAAUUAGUAAAUUCUUCCUGCAGAUGGCUCUCAGUGGAGUUACUGACCUUUCCCUUUAUUUUCCUUUUUGAUUUAGUGAAAUGAUUACUAACAGUUUCUAUUUUUCUAAAACAUGUCCUUACCAAGAGUAAAUCUUCCAUUUGGCUUGCCUUGAUUUUGGUUGGCUUUGCCUUUUUCCUUGCAGCAAGUUUGUAAUACAACUAACAUAAGGGCUCACA
Molecule: long non-coding RNA, 831 nt
Organism: Choloepus didactylus (southern two-toed sloth)
Lineage: Eukaryota; Metazoa; Chordata; Mammalia; Pilosa; Megalonychidae
Exons: 2
Source: RefSeq, a predicted model, not a curated record